UACGAAGGGGGCUAGCGUUGCUCGGAAUCAUUGGGCGUAAAGGGUGCGUAGGCGGAUUUGUAAGUCAGGGGUGAAAUCCCGGGGCCCAACCUCGGAACUGCCUUUGAUACUGCAAAUCUCGAGUCCGGAAGAGGUGAGUGGAAUUCCUAGUGUAGAGGUGAAAUUCGUAGAUAUUAGGAAGAACACCAGUGGCGAAGGCGGCUCACUGGUCCGGUACUGACGCUGAGGUGCGAAAGCGUGGGGAGCAAACAGG
Molecule: ribosomal RNA, 253 nt
Filed under: uncultured bacterium
Lineage: Bacteria
Description: partial 16S ribosomal RNA
Rfam family: Bacterial small subunit ribosomal RNA
Source: RNAcentral